This 200-nucleotide unclassified non-coding RNA is filed under the name soil metagenome. RNAcentral describes it as "partial contains internal transcribed spacer 2 and large subunit ribosomal RNA". The record is from RNAcentral.
CAUGCCUGUUCGAGCGUCAUUUCAACCCUCAAGCCCUGCUUGGUGUUGGGCCCUGCCCGUUGCGGCCGGCCUAAGUCAGUGGCGGCGCGUCUGGCUCUAAGCGUAGUACAUCUCUCGCUCUAGGGCCCCGCGGUGGCUUGCCAGCAACCCCAACUCCUAUGGUUGACCUCGGAUCAGGUAGGGAUACCCGCUGAACUUAA